CUUAAUUCCUCACAGCUCUGGCUUUUCUCAGCAUGUCUUCAUAGCUUUCAUCUGACAGCUAUUGUACUGACAUGUAUUUCUCCUCUGGAUCUGCCUUCUCCAAACACCAAAGACUAUUAGUGAAUUUGAGUUCUGCAGUUAGGAGCCUUCCCUGCCCAGCCGGGGAGGAUGGCAGCCUCCAGCAUACUUCUCUAUUCCGAAAGAAAAUUCACACCAGCCUCGAG
Molecule: long non-coding RNA, 224 nt
Filed under: Chinchilla lanigera (long-tailed chinchilla)
Lineage: Eukaryota; Metazoa; Chordata; Mammalia; Rodentia; Chinchillidae
Description: lncRNA (ENSCLAG00000028960.1)
Source: RNAcentral